This is a long non-coding RNA of Andrographis paniculata, 1345 nucleotides long. RefSeq lists it as uncharacterized. Lineage: Eukaryota; Viridiplantae; Streptophyta; Magnoliopsida; Lamiales; Acanthaceae. The transcript has 3 exons. The record is from RefSeq and is a predicted model, not a curated record.
AGAGAUGCACAAGUGAUAGCUCUCUCUCCAAAGUCUCUAAUGGCGACGAACAGAUUCAUCUGCAGAAAUCAAGAAACAUUACAUGGCGAGAAGAAAUGGAAGUGCGAUAAAUGCUCCAGGAAAUACGCUGUCCAGUCUUAUUGGAAAGCCCACACCAAGAUUUGCAAAUGUCGACAGGUUUGUCUUAACAAACUAAGAACAUCUCCAACAUAAGUAUCAUUUGCAAUAAAACUGAUAGAACAAUACUGAUUGAUCAUUAUAUUUUAUACCAAAAAUAAUAUUUUUUUUUUUAGUAAAAACCAUGUAGUCUAAAAAUUUAUUGCUUUGUUGAAAAAUUUUCAAUUCAUUAAAAUUAAUAAAAAAACAAGAGUAACAUGUAAAAUAAAAAUAAAAAACUGAAAAUAUUUAAUAAUUUGAAAAUAUGGUAAGUUUUAAAAAAAUAAAUAACUGAAAAUAUUUAAUAAUUUGUAAAUAUGGUAAAUUAUAAAAAAAACAAUUAAUUAAUUAAUAGUGUGUCUUUUUUCCAAUGGUUACAAUAUGUAUAUAAAGAUAUCAUAGUCACACAUACAUGUAUGCAUACAAUUGCAAUUGCAAGAAAUGAAACUCAUCCACCGGCAAGACUAUUUCAAUCUUGGUGUCUUCGGAGAAAGCUUUUGGCCAUGUCAACAUUCUCAUCCGUCCUGCUUGCUUGUGUUCAAGAUGAAAUUUGAUUUUUGAGGGGGUGAAGGAUCGGAAGGUUCUAUAUCCAUGGCUUCCCUGAGUCUCUUCUCUUCUGCACAAGCAUGUCAGAGGUGGUUCAUUAGAUUCUGCUGCUAAAUAGAGGGAGGAAGCUGAUUCUUGCCGCCCGCCCAAGUUCGGUAUGAUUCGAUAAUUCGAUUGUGUUGUCUUGUUCAAUUUGUUUCUAUAAAUAGUGUUAUCGAUCUAUGAAUGGCAUUUGGAUGAAUUGAAUCAAAUCGAACGGGAUACAGUAGAAUGUUGAUAGAAUGAUUUUGUUAAUCGAUUGUUAUAUAUAGGGACAACCGAUAGAUAAUUCAAUUGUUGUUCGAUCCGAUACAAAGUUGACUAGUUUUAAUUAUUUUUAAAUAAAUCGUUAUGUAGAAGGUUUUUGUUGAUGCUGAUUGUUUGCGCUCACUAGUCUCAUUUCUCAGAUUUCUACACGAAAGGCGCAAACAACUUUCCGAAACAAUAAAUUUGAACGUGGCGGGCCAACACGUCGCUUUCCAUUUACAUUUAUGCAUUUAAUUUAUUUUUAGCACUAUGCAUAUAGAUUUAUUUUUACGUCCCGAGACUUACAUACAUUAAUUUUGUUUCUAUAUUUUAUACUAAUUUAUUUUUAAGUGUUUAA